GACGAACGCUGGCGGCGUGCUUAACACAUGCAAGUCGAACGAAGUGGCGAACGGGUGAGUAACGCGUAAUCAACCUGCCCUUCAGAGGGGGACAACAGUUGGAAACGACUGCUACUACCGCAUACUGAAGGAGGGGAUUGCGUGGGAUUAGCUAGUUGGGGGGGUAACGGCCCACCAAGGCGAUGAUCAGUAGGCGGUCUGGGAGGAUGAACCGCCAAAUCGGGACUGAGACACGGCCCAGACUCCUACGGGAGGGAGCAGUGGGGAAUCUUCCGAAAUGGACGAAAGGCCGACGGAGCCACGCCGGGGGAGUGAUGAAGGCCUUCGGGGUGGAAAGCUCUGUUAAGCGGGAAGCGGUACCGGAAUAGAAAGCAACGGCUAACUACGUGCCAGCAGCCGCGGUAAUUC
RNAcentral lists this ribosomal RNA (408 nucleotides) under uncultured bacterium. RNAcentral describes it as "partial 16S ribosomal RNA". It matches the Rfam family "Bacterial small subunit ribosomal RNA", at positions 28 to 526 of the family's 1533-position model. The record is from RNAcentral.